Molecule: unclassified non-coding RNA, 400 nt
Filed under: soil metagenome
Description: partial contains 5.8S ribosomal RNA, internal transcribed spacer 2, and large subunit ribosomal RNA
Rfam family: 5.8S ribosomal RNA (bases 1-122)
Source: RNAcentral
GAUGAAGAACGUAGCGAAAUGCGAUACUUGGUGUGAAUUGCAGAAUCCCGUGAACCAUCGAGUCUUUGAACGCUAGUUGCGACUCAAGCCAUUAGGUUGAGGGCACGUCUGCCUGGGCGUCACAUAUCGUUGCCUGAUGCCAGUUUCCUCGUGAUGGGUGACUGUGCAGGGCGAAUGAUGGCUUCCCGUGAGCAUUGUUGCCUCAUGGUUGGUUGAAAAUUGAGUCCUUGGUAGGGAGCGCCUUGAUAGAUGGUGGUUGAGUGACGAACGAGACCCAAUCAUGUGAGACCCCUCACGAAUUUGGCCUUCAUGACCCACAUGCGUCUUUGGAACGCUCAUGACGAGACCUCAGGUCAGGCGGGGCUACCCGCUGAGUUUAAGCAUAUCAAUAAGCGGAGGA